This 468-nucleotide ribosomal RNA is filed under the name uncultured bacterium. RNAcentral's name for it is "partial 16S ribosomal RNA". It matches the Rfam family "Bacterial small subunit ribosomal RNA", at positions 28 to 507 of the family's 1533-position model. The record is from RNAcentral.
GAUGAACGCUGGCGGCGUGCUUAACACAUGCAAGUCGAACGGAAAGGCCAGUGCUUUCCCUGGUACUCGAGUGGCGAACGGGUGAGUAACACGUGGGUGAUCUGCCCUGCACUUCGGGAUAAGCCUGGGAAACUGGGUCUAAUACCGGAUAGGACAAUGGUUUGGAUGCCGUUGUGGAAAGUUUUUUCGGUGUGGGAUGAGCUCGCGGCCUAUCAGCUUGUUGGUGGGGUAAUGGCCUACCAAGGCGUCGACGGGUAGCCGGCCUGAGAGGGGGUAGGGCGACAUUGGGGGGGAGAUACGGCCCCGAUUACUACGGGGGGCAGCAGUGGUGAAUAUUGUACAAUGGGGGCAAGACUGAUGGAGCGAGGCCGCGUGGGUGAUGAAGGCCUUCGGGUGGUAUACACCUUGCGCUAGGGAGGAAGCGAAUUUGUGACGGUACCUGGAGAAGAAGCACCGGCUAACUACGUG